Molecule: long non-coding RNA, 1954 nt
Filed under: Gossypium barbadense (sea-island cotton)
Lineage: Eukaryota; Viridiplantae; Streptophyta; Magnoliopsida; Malvales; Malvaceae
Description: long non-coding RNA (GBAR_LNC018963)
Source: RNAcentral
CGCAAUUCAAGAGACUCUCUUGAUUGCUCACAAAAAUAAUGCACACAUACGCGUUUUUUAAAAUAUCAAUACUCAUUUAAAAAAUAUUGAUACUCAUCAGGUUUUAAAAACUCAUGCAGCGUGUUUUCAAACAAUUUAAGAAACCCCUAAAAUUUUCUGCUCUUGUUUCAAAAAGGCCUUUAACCCUAACUUCAAAAUUCCUUAAUACUUCAUUUUUUUUCUUUAAAAUCUUGACACAAAACAACCUAUAUUGUCUUUUCUUACAAGGAUUCAACAAGUUUGCUCUCAAAUUUCACAAUUUUUAAGCAAUUUCAAGGUAAAAAAUUUAUUUUUCCCAUUUCGAAUUUUGUGGAAUUUCUGUCAAAUUCUUGGUUGCAAAUUAUGUUUUUGGUUUAUUUGGAACAUAUACAUUAUGUUUUCUUGCAGGAGGUUGCCUAAGCUUAGCCAAAAUCUUAAAACUUUUCUUUAAACCCUUUGCAUACAAGGUGUUCGAUAAAAUUCCCCAACCAGAAUUUUAAGUGCAAAUAGUGUCUCUCUAGUCUAGUUAGUUAGAAUGUCUAUUAGGAAACAUCCUCAUUUCGGUCCUAUGGAUUCAUCUAGUGGCCAAACCAUUUCUUUCAAUGAUUGUUGUAGAAAAUACAAUGAUACUUAUCUGUUUGAUCAAUAUUUUUCAAAACGCAAAGUUAAUGUUACUCGCACACUUGAUUUUAAAAUUUUAUCCAAAAUCAAAUUUCAAUUUCUUCAAACAUUAGUCUAAUGGCAUUGGCUCGUCUUUUUUAAAAUUCGUUCACCAAUGCAUGCUAAUCUUGUUUGAGCAUUUUAUUCAAAUGCUAGGCUCGAACAUGAUGAAUCUGAUGAGACUGUGGUUGCUAUUAAUUAUUUCCUCAUGAAUACUCCUCUUCGUCUCAUUUUGGAAAACUUUGGUAAAUUUUUUAAACUUCCUCCCGAUAGUGAGUCAAAUGAGAAAGGCCCUUACUAUCCGGCCUUAAACGUUCGACGCUCGUAAGCAUCCGAGCUCAAUGUCCAUGAUCGCGUUUUGCAUUUUAUAAUCACAUGGAUAUUGCAUCCUAUUUCAAAACACAUCAUUUUUUGAUCUAUUGACUAUUGGUGAAUUGAUUGUUUUCAUAGAAAUAGGCGCCCGGAUCUUACUUUAAUUUUAUUUAAUGACAUUACCAAGCGUAUUGGCAAGGAGCUCGCUAGUCAGCUCUCUUUACCUUUUGGCACGUACUUGUUAUAUAUUUUUGAACGCCUAAACAUCCCAACCAACAUCGACCCUCCAUUGGUCAUUAAAUAUCAACCUAUUAGCUUUACUUCCCUUCAUCGAGCUGGUUUUAAAAUGGAUCCUUUUACCAGAAAUUGGGUUAAGGAUGAUUAUCCUAAUCCUCAAGAUGUUGAUGAUGAAGACCUUGAAGAAGACCAUGAUGAUAUUCCUCCUUCCGAGCAGGACCCUCCACCGGCUUCUUCAUCCGCUCAACCAUCUACUCCAACUCUCUCUGACGACAUGUUUUCCACCAUCCUUAGUGCUAUUACUUCAUUGAGUGAGGAGUUUAGAGGUUUUCGUACUCGAGUAGAUGAUGUGUUUGAACGAGUUAAUAACAAUGUUAGUAGUCUAGACUCUAGGAUGUCUAGGAUGUAGGAAAAUAUUGCAUAUUUAAUGUCUCAAUUCUCUCCUACUCCUCCACCUCAAGAAGACUAGAGUACAUAUUUUUUUUCUCAUGCAUUUUACUCAUUUUCAUGGCACAUUUUCCUAUUUCUAUGUUAGAACUUAAUGUUUAUUUUGGUAUCUUGUUUGUAGAUCCUUGAAAUUUUAUUUUGGUAUAUAUUUAUGUUAGUUCUUUGCUUUCCAAUUUUUCAAUUUCUUUUAUUGGGCUAACAAAGUCUCUCUCUCAAGCUUUAUUUGUUGAUUUUUGAUAUAAUAAAAAGGGGAAGAUAAGAGAAAGGUAAAUUAUUGGUA